GACGAACGCUGGCGGCGUGCUUAACACAUGCAAGUCGAACGGAAAGGCCCUGCUUUUGUGGGGUGCUCGAGUGGCGAACGGGUGAGUAACACGUGAGUAACCUGCCCUUGACUUUGGGAUAACUUCAGGAAACUGGGGCUAAUACCGGAUAGGAGCUCCUGCUGCAUGGUGGGGGUUGGAAAGUUUCGGCGGUUGGGGAUGGACUCGCGGCUUAUCAGCUUGUUGGUGGGGUAGUGGCUUACCAAGGCGUUGACGGGUAGCCGGCCGGAGAGGGUGACCGGCGGCGUGGGAGGGGAGCCACCCACUGUGGGACUGAUAGAGGCCCCAGCCGCCAAGGGGGGCCAGUGGUGGGAAGUCUGACCAAGGGGGGGGAGGUGUGAGCAAGCGGCCCGGGGGGCGGGAUGCCGCCUUUGUGGUUGAAACCAGCUUCCGCCUGUGACGAGGCGUGAGUGACGGUAAGGGAAAAAGAAGCCCCGGCUAACUCCGUG
This 488-nucleotide ribosomal RNA is filed under the name uncultured bacterium. RNAcentral describes it as "partial 16S ribosomal RNA". It matches the Rfam family "Bacterial small subunit ribosomal RNA", at positions 28 to 507 of the family's 1533-position model. The record is from RNAcentral.